GGCUGCUGCUGGCCCGGCUGGGGCUGACCCUGCUGGGGCUGCGGCGGGCCGUAGGGGUUCUGCUGCCCCGGGUUCUGGGCCGGGAAGCCGCCA
This 93-nucleotide transfer RNA is filed under the name Lentzea cavernae. RNAcentral describes it as "tRNA-Ser". Lineage: Bacteria; Bacillati; Actinomycetota; Actinomycetes; Pseudonocardiales; Pseudonocardiaceae. The record is from RNAcentral.